GAUGAACGCUGGCGGCGUGCCUAAUACAUGCAAGUCGAGCGAACAGACGGGGAGCUUGCUCCUCUGACGUUAGCGGCGGACGGGUGAGUAACACGUGGAUAACCUACCUAUAAGACUGGGAUAACUUCGGGAAACCGGCGCUAAUACCGGAUAAUAUAUUGAACCGCAUGGUUCAAUAGUGAAAGACGGUUUUGCUGUCACUUAUAGAUGGAUCAGCGCCGCAUUAGCUAGUUGGUAAGGUAACGGCUUACCAAGGCAACGAUGCGUAGCCGACCUGAGAGGGUGAUCGGCCACACUGGAACUGAGACACGGUCCAGACUCCUACGGGAGGCAGCAGUAGGGAAUCUUCCGCAAUGGGCGAAAGCCUGACGGAGCAACGCCGCGUGAGUGAUGAAGGUCUUCGGAUCGUAAAACUCUGUUAUUAGGGAAGAACAAAUGUGUAAGUAACUAUGCACGUCUUGACGGUACCUAAUCAGAAAGCCACGGCUAACUACGUG
This 497-nucleotide ribosomal RNA is filed under the name uncultured bacterium. RNAcentral's name for it is "partial 16S ribosomal RNA". It matches the Rfam family "Bacterial small subunit ribosomal RNA", at positions 28 to 507 of the family's 1533-position model. The record is from RNAcentral.